GAAUCUUGAGCAGCCAGAAUGCAAUAUCUACAGCCCCAACUAAAACGGCAAUAAUAAUAUAUCUUCUCAUCGGUAUAACUAAGUAAAACUAUGAAACAACAUGAAUUUAUGAAAAUACUAAAAGAAUCUUCAUAAACUGUUUCCAGUCUUUAUUUUACCAAGAUUUGUAUUAAUUAAAUGACAUAAAUUUUGAAUUAAAGUACGCAUUUAAGUGGUAAAGUGCAAUUCAGCAAAGACAUCGGUCAAUACAAAAUUAGUCAUGAAAGUCAUCAAUUUAAUUAAUAUGCAAAGAACCCAUAUUGGAUGGAGAAAUACCAACACAAGUUUAAUGAAACUACAUUAGAUCGAGAAAUAAAAAUGAGUUCUCAUACCAUAAAACCAUGCUCUCUUUUAUUUUCCAUUUUCAGCAUUCAACUCCUACCAUAGAUAAGCAAAAGCAUGUAAACAAGCCUUUUAAUGAAAGGCUGCAUUGGGAAGUCAAAAAAAUGCUAGUGCAACAAGGCACAUUUUCCAUCUUCAACCGCUAAUGAGUCAUGACCAUAGAAACACAGAGAUAUAUUUCCCAUUAAAUAUUUCUCUGAUGAAAAAUCACGAAAUUCAAAACUUAAGCUUCUACAUACCUACAGACCAAACGUUUUGAAAGUUUUGUACCAUAGCCACAGAACUUCAACAUACAAGCGUCUAAAACCACGCACAUAAUCAAUCAAGUAAAACUCUCAAAAUAAUUUAGGUUUCAUUUCAAAACCAAAAAUAUUUCAUUUGGAAAACUGAGGGUGUAUAUUAAUAUGCCUAAAAGAUCACUUAACUCUAUAACCAAAACUCGAUGCUGAACUAUCCUUCAUUUUGAUAUUGAAAAAUAUUUUCAAAAUUCACUUCUUUCCUAAAACCCACGUUUCUUGAGCCCUCAAAUUUGCAGCAAAAAAAUUUCUUGAUCAUGUGAUUUUUCUGUUUAAUAUUGGAGAUUUUGAUUAUGUGAAUGUUGAAUAUUUGUAAUAUUUGUCAUGGAUUCUUGAAAUCUUGCUUUCUGUCAAUUAGUUAAACAAUUAGAGAUGAUUUUCUAGUGUUCUACCAAUUUGUAAGAAUUAGCAUUUAUUUUCUUAUCAAUUAGUAUUUAAUUGUCACUUGUAAUUUAUUUUAGUGUGAAGUGCCAAUAGAGAGAUUCUUUAAAAAAAAAUAUUUCGUAGAAAAUGUUGAUGAGGAGAUAUCGAAUAAAAUGAAUUUUGAUGUUGCACAAUUUGGUACUAAUCCUAGAAUAAGGAAAAAGAUAAUCAUCUCAUUAGUGUUAUCGCUAUGUCAUUUUUAGCAUUGUCAUAAUAUCAUUAAAACCAUAAUCGAAAAGUUCGACCUUGAUUAGAUUUUGCGAGCAUUGGACAAAAUUCCUAGCUCCGACCCUGCUCUCUAAUUCGUGAAUAAAUGAAGCAUAGCAAUUUCUACCACAAAGAGAACCAAACAAAACUAUAACCAUAGCUAGUAAUUUAACAGCAAACAAAUGAUACUUUUUACCACCAUCAUCAUCAUUUCCUUCAGAAUCUUACCCUUCUUAACUCGUAUAGAUUUCCCUGAAUGCGAGCGUCGCACAUGCCUUACAGCCACGCCACCUGCUGCAGCAGACUGCCCACCAUUCGGAGCCUUGAUGUUGUGGUGCUCAGACAGCACUAAUGGCGUCUGACUUGGAGACCUUGGGCCAGUAGCUUUCGGUGAUGAGGACAACGACAACGAAGAAAUGACCUCCGCAUUCUCCGUCGCUAUUCUCAACAUCUCCCUCUGCCCCUCCGUCAAAAACCCCUCUCUGCUCGCCAUUUCUUCUCCCUAACCAAACUAAAUGAACAAACAAAUUCAUCAAAAACUAACUAUAUUCAAAACAUCAAAUCGUUUCAUUAUAACGUAUAUUCCCAUACAAUGCCAUUUUAACGUCUUUAGCAAUUAAUCCUUCAAAAUAUUUCCGACCCAGAAAUAAAAAAUAAAAAUAAAAUAAAAAAUUUUAACAUUCUAAAACUGGGAACCAUUUAAUUUUCUAAUCAAUUACCUGUAUGAAUCGUGAAGAGAACUGCCACUGUUCUUGGCUCGGAUCUCGAGCCAAGAAAGGAAAAGCAAUAAACAACAACCAAUCAACAACUCCGAUCUUGCUUCAAAACACGCAGAAACCCACUUCACUGUGCGUAUUCCGAUUGAAUUAGCUUCCAAAUUUAGGGAUGGUUCACGAAAUCUGUCUGUAAUUACCUAGAAGAAACUCGAGUUUUUGUCAUAGACAGGAAAUGGAUGAGAAUGAAACGUUUAUAUAGGGAGGCUAUGGUUAUAUGG
This 2301-nucleotide long non-coding RNA is filed under the name Olea europaea (common olive). Its description in RNAcentral is "long non-coding RNA (OEUR_LNC006885)". The record is from RNAcentral. Lineage: Eukaryota; Viridiplantae; Streptophyta; Magnoliopsida; Lamiales; Oleaceae.